GUCCUUUUGGUUUUUAUUUAAGGUCUGACCUGCCCACUGAUAUAUUUAAUGGCCGCGGUAUUUUGACCGUGCAAAGGUAGCAUAAUAAUUUGUCUUUUAAUUGAAGGCUUGUAUGAAUGGUUGGACGAGAAAACCACUUUCUUUAUAAUAAAAUAAUUAAUUUUAUUUUUUAGUUAAAAAGCUAAAAUAUUGUUGUAGGACGAGAAGACCCUAUAGAACUUUAUAUUUAUUGUUGUAUUAAUAUUUUUUGUUUAUAAUAUAUUAUAUUUUUAUAAAUAUUUUGUUGGGGCGACAAGAAAAUUUAUUUAACUUUUUUUAUAAAUUUCAUUAAUUUAUGUAUAAAUGAUCCUUUAUUAAGGAUAAUUAGAAUAAGUUACCUUAGGGAUAACAGCGUAAUUUUUUUGGAGAGUUCUUAUCGAUAAAUAAGUUUGCGA
RNAcentral lists this ribosomal RNA (434 nucleotides) under Sigara longipalis. Its description in RNAcentral is "partial large subunit ribosomal RNA". It matches the Rfam family "Archaeal large subunit ribosomal RNA", at positions 1921 to 2592 of the family's 2987-position model. Lineage: Eukaryota; Metazoa; Arthropoda; Insecta; Hemiptera; Corixidae. The record is from RNAcentral.